Molecule: non-coding RNA, 73 nt
Organism: Trichonephila clavipes
Lineage: Eukaryota; Metazoa; Arthropoda; Arachnida; Araneae; Nephilidae
Source: the annotation of a GenBank genome assembly
UUCCCUGAAGCGCAAUACAUAGCACAUUGGACUUCUAAUUCAAAGGUCGUGGGUUCGAAUCCUACCUGGGAUG